GACGAACGCUGGCGGCGUGCUUAACACAUGCAAGUCGAACGGAAAGGCCCUGCUUUUGUGGGGUGCUCGAGUGGCGAACGGGUGAGUAACACGUGAGUAACCUGCCCUUGACUUUGGGAUAACUUCAGGAAACUGGGGCUAAUACCGGAUAGGAGCUCCUGCUGCAUGGUGGGGGUUGGAAAGUUUCGGCGGUUGGGGAUGGACUCGCGGCUUAUCAGCUUGUUGGUGGGGUAGUGGCUUACCAAGGCCUUGACGGGUAGCCGGCCUGGGAGGGUGACCGGCCACAUUGGGACUGAGAUACGGCCCAGACUCCUACGGGAGGCAGCAGUGGGGAAUAUUGCACGAUGGGCGGAAGCCUGAUGCAGCAACGCCGCGUGGGGGAUGACGGCCUUCGGGUUGUAAACCGCUUUCGCCUGUGACGAAGCGUGAGUGACGGUAAUGGGUAAAGAAGCACCGGCUAACUACGUG
Molecule: ribosomal RNA, 468 nt
Filed under: uncultured bacterium
Lineage: Bacteria
Description: partial 16S ribosomal RNA
Rfam family: Bacterial small subunit ribosomal RNA
Source: RNAcentral